AAUCCGGUUGAUCCUGCCGGACCUGACUGCUAUCGGAUUGAUACUAAGCCAUGCGAGUCAUUGUAGCAAUACAAGGCAGACGGCUCAGUAACGCGUAGUCAACCUACCCUAUGGACGGGAAU
This 122-nucleotide ribosomal RNA is filed under the name Candidatus Nitrosopumilus sp. RNAcentral describes it as "Nitrosopumilus sp. partial 16S ribosomal RNA". It matches the Rfam family "Archaeal small subunit ribosomal RNA", at positions 1 to 127 of the family's 1478-position model. Lineage: Archaea; Thermoproteati; Nitrososphaerota; Nitrososphaeria; Nitrosopumilales; Nitrosopumilaceae. The record is from RNAcentral.